This 378-nucleotide long non-coding RNA is filed under the name Pan troglodytes (chimpanzee). RNAcentral's name for it is "long non-coding RNA NONPTRT013668". Lineage: Eukaryota; Metazoa; Chordata; Mammalia; Primates; Hominidae. The record is from RNAcentral.
GCCAGCUCGCUGCUCUCGCGGGCGGAUGGUGUGUGGCCGCCGCAUGACGCCCGCCGUGCCCGGGCCAUGAAGUAGCGGCUGCUGGCGGCGCCGCUGCCCAACCGCCAGCCCCAGCCCCGCGCUGCGCUGCCCGGUCCUCUCCCGGCGGGGUCGGAUCGGCGUGGACAUGGCUGGCCGCGUCCCUAGCCUGCUAGUUCUCCUUGUUUUUCCAAGCAGCUGUUUGGCUUUCCGAAGCCCACUUUCUGUCUUUAAGAGGUUUAAAGAAACUACCAGACCAUUUUCCAAUGAAUGUCUUGGUACCACCAGACCGGUAGUUCCUAUUGAUUCAUCAGAUUUUGCAUUGGAUAUUCGCAUGCCUGGGGUUACACCUAAACAGGU